GACGAACGCUGGCGGCGUGCUUAACACAUGCAAGUCGAGCGGUAAGGCCCUUCGGGGUACACGAGCGGCGAACGGGUGAGUAACACGUGAGUAAUCUGCCCAUCACUUCGGGAUAACUCCGGGAAACCGGUGCUAAUACCGAAUAUGACCACUUCAGGCAUCUGAUGGUGGUGGAAAGUUCCGGCGGUGAUGGAUGAGCUCGCGGCCUAUCAGCUUGUUGGUGGGGUAGUGGCCUACCAAGGCUUCGACGGGUAGCCGGCCUGAGAGGGUGACCGGCCACACUGGGACUGAGACACGGCCCAGACGCCUACGGGAGGCAGCAGUGGGGAAUAUUGCACAAUAGGCGAAAGCCUGAUCCAGCAACGCCGCGUGAGGGAUGACGGCCUUCGGGUUGUAAACCUCUUUCAGCAGGGACGAAGCGAAAGUGACGGUACCUGCAGAAGAAGCACCGGCCAACUACGUG
This 463-nucleotide ribosomal RNA is filed under the name uncultured bacterium. RNAcentral's name for it is "partial 16S ribosomal RNA". It matches the Rfam family "Bacterial small subunit ribosomal RNA", at positions 28 to 507 of the family's 1533-position model. The record is from RNAcentral.